GCCAGACUCCUACGGGAGGCAGCAGUGAGGAAUAUUGGUCAAUGGCCGAGAGGCUGAACCAGCCAAGUCGCGUGAGGGAUGACGGCCCUACGGGUUGUAAACCUCUUUUGUCGGGGAGCAAAGAGAGUCACGUGUGACUCAUUGAGAGUACCCGAAGAAAAAGCAUCGGCUAACUCCGUGCCAGCAGCCGCGGUAAUACGGAAGGUCCGGGCGUUAUCCGGAUUUAUUGGGUUUAAAGGGAGCGUAGGCCGGUCUUUAAGCGUGCCGUGAAAUUUUGUGGCUCAACCAUGAGAGUGCGGCGCGAACUGGAGACCUUGAGUGCGCGGAAGGCAGGCGGAAUUCGUGGUGUAGCGGUGAAAUGCAUAGAUAUCACGCAGAACUCCGAUUGCGAAGGCAGCAUACCGGCGCCCAACUGACGCUGAAGCACGAAAGCGUGGGUAUCGAACAGGAUUAGAUACCCCCGUAAU
RNAcentral lists this ribosomal RNA (467 nucleotides) under uncultured bacterium. RNAcentral describes it as "bacterial SSU rRNA". It matches the Rfam family "Bacterial small subunit ribosomal RNA", at positions 330 to 794 of the family's 1533-position model. The record is from RNAcentral.